UCCAACCUGCCGUCUACUCUUGGACAGCCUUCUGAAAGGAAGAUUAAUACAAGAUGGCAUCAUGAGUCCGCAUGUUCACAUGAUUAAAGGGUAUUCCGGUAGACGAUGGGGAUGCGUUCCAUUAGAUAGUAGCGGGGUAACGGCCCACCUAGUCUUCGAUGGAUAGGGGUUCUGAGAGGAAGGUCCCCCACAUUGGAACUGAGACACGGUCCAAACUCCUACGGGAGGCAGCAGUGAGGAAUAUUGGUCAAUGGGCGAGAGCCUGAACCAGCCAAGUAGCGUGAAGGAUGACUGCCCUAUGGGUUGUAAACUUCUUUUAUAAAGGAAUAAAGUCGGGUAUGCAUACCCGUUUGCAUGUACUUUAUGAAUAAGGAUCGGCUAACUCCGUG
Molecule: ribosomal RNA, 389 nt
Filed under: uncultured bacterium
Lineage: Bacteria
Description: bacterial SSU rRNA
Rfam family: Bacterial small subunit ribosomal RNA
Source: RNAcentral